UGCCGGGUGGUCAAAACCCGGAGGAAAGGUCGGGGAAUGACGGUCAAGUCCUCAUGGCCUUUAUGCCCAGGGCUACACACGUGCUACAAUGGGCGGUACAAAGAGCAGCGAGCUCGCGAGAGUAAGCAAAUCUCAAAAAGCCGUCCUCAGUUCGGAUUGGAGUCUGCAACUCGACUCCAUGAAGUUGGAAUCGCUAGUAAUCGCGGAUCAGCAUGCCGCGGUGAAUACGUUCCCGGGCCUU
This 241-nucleotide ribosomal RNA is filed under the name uncultured Syntrophaceae bacterium. RNAcentral describes it as "partial 16S ribosomal RNA". It matches the Rfam family "Bacterial small subunit ribosomal RNA", at positions 1150 to 1382 of the family's 1533-position model. Lineage: Bacteria; Pseudomonadati; Thermodesulfobacteriota; Syntrophia; Syntrophales; Syntrophaceae. The record is from RNAcentral.